CCAGAGGGUUGGGCGGCCGCGUCGUGCAUUAGCACGCCGAGGAAAGUCCGGGCUCCACGAAACGACGGUGCCGGGUAACGCCCGGCGGGGGCGACCCCAGGGAAAGUGCCACAGAGAGCAGACGGCGACGGCUUCGGCCACGUCAUGGUGAAAGGGUGCGGUAAAAGCGCACCGCGCGCCUGGUAACAGGGGCGGCACGGCAAACCCCACCGGGAGCAAGACCGAAUAGGGGCGGCACAUGAGCUUUGUUUCAGCUCGUCGCCCGGGUUGGUUGCUUGAGCCCGUAUGCAAAUACGGGCCUAGAGGAAUGGUCGCACAUCGCAUCUCGGUGCGAGGACAGAACCCGGCUUACAGACCCUCUGGCAUU
RNAcentral lists this RNase P RNA (367 nucleotides) under Sphingomonas sp. So64.6b. Its description in RNAcentral is "RNase P RNA component class A". It matches the Rfam family "Bacterial RNase P class A". Rfam says of the family: Ribonuclease P (RNase P) is a ubiquitous endoribonuclease, found in archaea, bacteria and eukarya as well as chloroplasts and mitochondria. Its best characterised activity is the generation of mature 5'-ends of tRNAs by cleaving the 5'-leader elements of precursor-tRNAs. Cellular RNase Ps are ribonucleoproteins. Lineage: Bacteria; Pseudomonadati; Pseudomonadota; Alphaproteobacteria; Sphingomonadales; Sphingomonadaceae. The record is from RNAcentral.